RNAcentral lists this ribosomal RNA (309 nucleotides) under Triticum aestivum (bread wheat). RNAcentral's name for it is "partial small subunit ribosomal RNA". Lineage: Eukaryota; Viridiplantae; Streptophyta; Magnoliopsida; Poales; Poaceae. The record is from RNAcentral.
AUGGGGGUACGGGAGUGCCAAAUAUCCAAAAGGUAUAUUGCAAGGGAAGGAACAUUGUGGAGAAAAGUUAUAGAUGCUAAGUAUAAUACUAGAAAUCCUAAUGAGCUCUGCUGCCAUGACUCUCGCCCCUCUCGGUUCUGGAAAGGGGUUAUGUGGGCCAUGCAAGCUGUUAAAUCUGGAUACAAGUGGCAUGUAGGUAAUGGUAGAUCAGUUCGUUUUGGGGAAGGCAUUUGGUUUGGCAACUCUCCUCUGGCCACACAAUUUUGGGAUAUCUAUUGUGUGGUCAAUGAGACAAAUAAGACUGUUUGA